This 425-nucleotide ribosomal RNA is filed under the name uncultured bacterium. RNAcentral's name for it is "partial 16S ribosomal RNA". It matches the Rfam family "Bacterial small subunit ribosomal RNA", at positions 354 to 796 of the family's 1533-position model. The record is from RNAcentral.
GUGGGGAAUAUUGGACAAUGGGCGAAAGCCUGAUCCAGCAAUGCCGCGUGAGUGAUGAAGGCCUUAGGGUUGUAAAGCUCUUUUACCCGGGAUGAUAAUGACAGUACCGGGAGAAUAAGCUCCGGCUAACUCCGUGCCAGCAGCCGCGGUAAUACGGAGGGAGCUAGCGUUAUUCGGAAUUACUGGGCGUAAAGCGCACGUAGGCGGCUUUGUAAGUUAGAGGUGAAAGCCUGGAGCUCAACUCCAGAAUUGCCUUUAAGACUGCAUCGCUUGAAUCCAGGAGAGGUGAGUGGAAUUCCGAGUGUAGAGGUGAAAUUCGUAGAUAUUCGGAAGAACACCAGUGGCGAAGGCGGCUCACUGGACUGGUAUUGACGCUGAGGUGCGAAAGCGUGGGGAGCAAACAGGAUUAGAUACCCCUGUAGUCC